This 204-nucleotide ribosomal RNA is filed under the name Minutocellus polymorphus. Its description in RNAcentral is "partial Eukaryotic large subunit ribosomal RNA". It matches the Rfam family "Eukaryotic large subunit ribosomal RNA", at positions 254 to 457 of the family's 3401-position model. Lineage: Eukaryota; Bacillariophyta; Thalassiosirophyceae; Cymatosirales; Cymatosiraceae. The record is from RNAcentral.
CCUUCGACGAGUCGAUUAGCUUGGGAUUGCUGAUCAAAGUGUGACGUAAAUUUGUCAUAAAACUAAAUAUUGGUGGGAAACCGAUAGCGAACAAGUAAUGUGAAUGAAAGUUGCAAAGAACUUUGAAAAGAGAGUUAAAGAGUACUCGAAAUCGUUGAAAGGGAAGCGUACAAAAACAGUGUUUCGCUGUAUCAUCUUUCCUCA